CUAUUGGUAGAUAAUGCAACAUGAACAUGAAUAUAUACAUGUUCUUUAAAAGCAGUAGCUUCGCACACUCCUAAAAUAUAUACACCCACUUGCAUUAGAUGAGGGCUUCCAUAGCGGAUCAAACAAAAGAUGCCAUCAAAUACUAUUAUUUGCAUGAAAAAGAUAAUCUUUCAUAUAUAACUUAUUUACAUGACAAAAGUCUGCCUCGAGAAACUUUUUACAAAACUGGAGUUAAGUACCGAACAUCAGGGUUCAUCACCCCACCCUUCAUCUCCUGGAUCACAUAGCCCACCAAAAUUUCUCCCCAGGAGAGAGAAACUUAUUCAGUAAGUAGUACGAAGAACAGAUAUAUUUAUAUAUAGAUAUGCCUGUCGAAUGCUCUGAAUUACUAGUAGUGGUUAUACAGGAAGAGGCCAACUCCAUCUCAAGCAUUGUUUUCCGCAAAUAUAUCAAGGAGGGCCAGAGCCUGAAAAAAUAAGUAUAUCUCUGUCACAACUCACAAAUAAGCUGAUGAAAUAAGAGAGGUGUCAAAUGAUGUUUUUUCUAAGCAUAUACCUCAGGGAUAUUGAGCUCCAGACGAAACUUGGGGCCAUCGUAGUGAUGAAGGAUUGGGCGGAAGGCGUCCUCUUCCAGUGGUUCACAGACCUUCCUUGUCACCACCCUCACCUAAUCAAAGUAGGGGGGAGAAAACAAUGAGAACAGCAUAAGCAAGCAGACCUAAUGCUUGAACAAGUCAUUAAGAAAUCUCUCUGGAGUUGAGAAAAAGAGAGGGUGAUAGCUUGGUUGGUGCAGGUCUCCAUCAAAGAAAUAUAAAAAUAAGAUGGAAUUCACCACCCAAUGGAUAGGAUUGGAGGUUUCAUGUGUUGUUAUAAAGAAAGCAAACCACCUCAACAACUAGCACCAGUAUUCUUCAUCCAUGAAUAAAGUAGUACCAGCAUAGAUAAAAUAAGGAAGUGGAGUCAUGUACCAACAUAGAUAAAAUGAUUAACAUUUAAUGUGAAUAAAGAAAACAGAGGAAGUUGAAUCAAACUCCAUGAUCAAACCAUUAAGAAAAUAUUAUCAUGUCCAAUCUUGCCUUUCAUACUGAAAAAGGGGAUGGGAAAGGAGGGAUGGACAGGAGAAGAUGCACUAUCUUUCUGAUCUGAAACUUAUGUCCAUCCAAAUCCAUGAAGGGACUCCCAUAGUAGCUAGCAUCAAUGAAUACACAUCUAGAUGAAUACACCCAUCAAUGAACAGCCUUUUCAAAAGGAAACACUCAUUCUGAAGCUAGAGUCUCACUGUUUGUAUAACUUAUCCAAAUUAACAACGCAAGACAGAGAACAACAGGAUACAAUCGACCCAAACCCGAAGCAGAAUCGAGUUAUGGAAUACACACCUGAGAAGGGAAACGGGAUUCCCCAGGGCAUUUCUUGUCCUCCCAAGCCGUUCGAUCGAUGUGGGUUCCUCCAAAGCUAGCCGCCUGUAGACGAAGUUGCAGGGCAAAUUUGUAUAAGAAAACAGAACCCAAUUCCGUCGAGCGGAUAAGAUGGUAUGAGAUAGAGGAACAGAUGCAGCACCUCAAAAAUUCCAUGGAGCUGAUGGGUCGAGUAGUUGUAGAGGAAAAGAGGCAGCCCUGGUGUGAUCGCCCGAACCGAGUCUCUGUACCUUGGCGGCAGGCCUGUUACCAACCAAAACCAACAAAAAAAAUAAGAAAAAAUGGUUGCCCAUUUGAAUUGAACCAAUAUUUAGGGAAGUUUUAACAAGGAAAGAUGUCAAAGCUCAAUAACUACUAAAAAUUCCAUUCUUUUGGUUAACAAGUUUGACCUCCCACCAUUAAAUCUGAAAAACAGAGUUACAAAAUACCUCAAAGAUAGUGCAAAUUUGUGGGUAGGAUACCAAGUGAUUUCCUUUGCUACAAAGGAAAUUAAAUGGGUUGAAUCUAAGUAAUCGAGCAUGUACUCCUAAAAAUUUGAACUUUCUUCCAUUAAUAUUAAUAACGAUAAUUAAAUUGCGAUCAAAGAACAAAAUUCGAACUUCCCUUUCAAAAAUGAUGCGAAAAAUAAAGAUAAUAAUGAUAAUUAAUCAAAUAAAGCAUGCAUACCAAAAAGCUGCCUUCGGAGAUUCUCCUCCAUGGUAUCGUUGUUGCAGACAAAGAUAUAACCCCCGACCGCUUCACUCCUCGGCAGGGCCUCCGACGGCGGCAGCGUCUUGAAUCGCUUAUCCACCGCUCCAUUGUUAUUGUUGUUAUUGUCGUUGUUAUUCCCGUAAUUGCUGUUCUUCUUCUUCUUCCCACUCCCUCCGUCAUUACCAUUAUUCUUCCUCCCGCCAUACCCGUUAUUCACCGACUUCCCGAUCGCCUUGCUAAAAUAAUUCUUGAUCUCCCCGUUGUUAUUAAUACCGUUGUUAUAACCAUUAUUUACAAAAUUCUCAUUCUUCAGUCCACCGUUAUUCCCACCGCUAUUCUUUCCCGUAUUGCUGUUGUUGUACCUCUCGUUGGUGCUAUUCCCGAACGCCAGCUUCUGAUUUCCGAACCCCGUCUUCCAGACGAGAUCGGAAGGCCCUACGGGGUUCUCGAAGUUUCGGCGCUCGUCGAUUCUUCUCACAAACGAGUCGCUCCAUAUGCUAUCCCCGAUAGACAGGUUGGAUAAGUUGGUGGUCUGGAGCCGGAUCUGAUCACUGAAGUUCCAGAACUCGUUGUUGGCCUCCAUCUUCCGCGACUAAUUCCCUCUAAUUCAACUAAUAUUCAGUGUAUCGGUAGAGAUUGGUUUAGGAAUAGGGGUGGGAAUAGGGUGUGGAUUGAAGCAGGGAGAGGAGAGGAUGGGGGUAGUUAUAAAGUUGGGAGUGGGUGAAGGAUGAUGGGCAGGAAAGUUUCUUGGAAGGAAGGAGGGGGGAGGAAAGCGUGUGAAUGUGUCAAGAGAGGUGACACAAACGCGUUUUGGAUUUUGGAAGCCAGACCGUGAGCAGAAAGAAGAUGACGGGUUCCUGAACGAAUUAAUGGGGGAUAAACGGGAAUUGGGGGGGGGGGGGGAGGAAGGGGAUUACUUCAUGGAGAGGGCAGUGGUGGAGGGGGAUUACUUCGUGGGAAGGGAAGUGGUGGGGGUGGGGCAGAGGGACACGCGGCGGGCCAGGUCGCAUGCCACGACCUCUAGAAGGGCGGCUGGUUGGCUUCCAGAAGCUUGACUUGGGCACCGGCGACGUGGGGCCCUAACAGUCAUACACGUCGUAAUAGAGUGAUAUGGGACAGGUGGGGAGCCCGGACAGGGGUUGUAUCCUUCCUUCGCGAAAAUCCACCGUUGGAUCGGAAAAUAGCCACUUCGUGAUCUGUGCAGAAAGAAUUCGUAAUUCUUUGAGAUAUGUGCGGAUCGUGAUCCAAUGGCCAACCUCGGGAAAGAACAUAGAUCGUUCCUUCGCGCGAAACAUACACCCGGAACCGGGGGAGCACGCGUGUCUGAAAAGCCAGUCUUUUGAUGGAGGGCGAGGGAACGCGAUCUGGGCCGUCACGGCGUGUGGGUGGGUGGGAUCAUGGACUUUGGAUUUCAUGACUCGUCGUGUGACACGUCAUAGUGCGCCAAAUCGGCCAUUUGUCAAUUCAGAAAGCCAAAAAGGGCCAUUAUUUUUUCACAAAAAAAAAAGAAUAAGGACCCAAUGAAUGACCAUAGCUAAUAAUAUGUUUAGGUCUAAACAAUUUCUUAGUAAAUAUUCUCUCCAUCUCUAUUAGUUUUAGUACAUUUAAUCGACAAACAUUAGAUAAUCAUGAAUUUUUUUUUGGCUUUAUGUUAUCAUCAGCAAUGGAUCCAAUGCAAAGAAAAUAUUAGAUAAAAGAUUCAACAACCUGUUUACAUGAUUUCUGUGGAAAGAGAACGCUGCAUAGGGAGUUUUUUUUUUUUCUUGAGUCUACACGAGGUUGUCUCAUGGUUGGUAUAUUGGUAUAUGUUUAAACAACCAACGUUACGUGACCUGGAAUUUUCUUUGGCUUGAUAUACGGUUUCACACUAGUUGAUGUGAUUAAUUGUCGUUACACGUAGUGGCUAGCGCGCUCUCAAUACCUAGAAGAAGACGUAGCAAGGUUUGGUUCAUGUGAUGUCACACGGAAGGAACUGUUAGGACACGGAAAGCAAUGUAUAUUUGACUUUUACCAUCUUGUAUGGCUGUCUAGUGCUUCUUCAACACUCGCACAAUUUUGAAUAAUAAAUUGAAGUUUAUUAAGUACUUGUGCUAAUGCAAGUGGCUGAGCUGGGUUUGACAAUUGAACCCGGCUCCUAACCAAUGUAUUUUGUUUGAGUUUGGGCUUGGCUCAUGGCCAUUGACAAAGUGACCUGAAGUCAAAUCCGACUCCACGCCCAACCCAGACGCUUCAGAUUUUGGCAUAAUCUCUGAUCUGGUUCGCCAUCAUCUGAACUUGAAAUUGUAGGUAUUUGCACAAAUGUCGGCUUGCACAAAGCUCUACUGAUCUUAGGAGAUUUUGCAAUGCUUAGGGUAUCAAUCUUGCAUAAUUGCUACAUAUCAAUCUUAUAUAAUUGCUUUACUUAAAAAAAACACCGAUUAUGUACAUAUUUUGCCGAUAGACAUGUUUAUCGGAUGGAUCAGGCCGUGCUUAGCCCCAUACAUAACCAAAAUUAUCCAAGCCUAAGCUUGGCACAGCCCGGGCUUCGGGCUUACUUUCCAGGCCCGAGCCUGUUAGGUUUGGACGUUCAGCCGGCCACGAGUUUUUCAAAUCACCGUGGAGAUAAGAGAGGGAGGGGACAACGUGUCCUCUGUUUUGAGCCUUAUCUUUUCUUCUUUUUUUUAAUUUGAAUUUUAGAUAGAAAUUGGCUAGGCAUGCUUUCUUUUGUCUAACAUGUGCCCAAUUUAGGCCAAUUCUCACACAUAUGAACCUGAGACUUAAAUCCAUAUUCCACCAUUUAAAAGAUUCCAUGGCCUGUGAGGAUUUCGUUCAAGCCCUUGAACUGCAGUCUACAAUCAUCAUAUGUUCUUCUGGACCUGUUCUUUGUAGAGCAAUUCUUGUACACAGCAUUAAUUCAUUAACACUUCGGGCCAAUGGUGGACAUUGUACUCUUGUUUGAAGAGUUUUAUGUGAAAAAAAAAGGAGAAAGGGACAAAAAUGGUAUAUGAGGAGGCAUGAAAUCUACCUUUCCAAAAGAAAAAGACGCAAGAGGGAGGAUCCGACUGUGAUCUCUCUCCAUCGGUCAAGAAGAUUUGGUUAAAGAGGCUCUCCAACUUUUGAAUUUUCCCCAAGGUUGCAAGAAAAGAGCGUUAGAAGGAUAGCAAUGUGAUGGCAUGAGCAAGCCUCGAGUGGGUCCGGGGUUCGGGGACAGCGCGCCCGUGGAAGCGAACGUCAGCAAGCGUGCCGUUUAGUCUGGAGAAAGAUACGUGGGCGCGUUUCCAUGUGAUCUGCCAAAUUGGAGCGUGCACUAAAAUCUAGCGCUCCACCAGGGAAAGGUUCGUGUUUUGAAUAUUAGGCUACUUCAAAGCACGAAUCUUUGACCCGGCCACCAUAAUUAGCUGAAUUCAGGAGCGCUCUAAUAGCGAUGGAGGGCUACUUUUUUGCUUCAAAAUAUUUGAAAUAUAACGAGUGGUGGUGUGGCUUUCUAGGUCAAGAAUAUUUUUAGAAAGUCAAACGAAACUACAGACUGAGUGGCUUCAUAUAUGGCCAGUCACUUCGAAGUCAUCCUAUCGUUGGAAAAAAAAAAUUGCCUAAAGCGCUCUGAAACUUGUUGUUUUCUAAUCUUAUUAGAUAUAUCUGUACUAUAACUAUAUAAAUCAUUUGCUUCAGCACAAGAAAAAAAUAUUAGAAAUUUUUCCAUGGUUGCACGGCUUUAGUAUGCAAAAUAUACUGGUCCUUCUGGAAGAUGAAUCCAUGGGCUAAACUUUCACAAAUAUUUUUUUUAUAAUCUCCUCCACAUAUGUACAUAUAUAUAUAUAUAUAUAUUUGGUAUAGGAAUCUCGUCAAAAAAUUUUGUAGGUGCAAUCCUGACGGUCUAUAUGGUUGUCUCUUGAAAUGUUCUCUAAAUUUGAAUUCAAAUUUAAUGAAGUAUCUUUUUUAGACAUGGGAAGUUAUAUACACGGAUCUUUUUUACAGAGGCUUCUGUUUUUCGCUUCUGCAGUUACUGGUUCUUUCAUACUCGAACCUUGCACGUCUUUCCAUAAAAAAAAUAGUGAACUUCUGAAACGUGAAAUGUCCAUCCUCGUCCAACUACUAGACGUUCCCUUGUCGAUAUGGAAAACAUUCUGUUGCUCUUUCUUACAUAAAAUAACAAAAAUGUAUCAAUUAUGCAAUGCAUCAUGCCCUUUCCUUUUCCUCUCUUUUUUAACUUGUUAUUUCUUCUUGGGGGGGACAUUAGCUUGGCCUCCACUUGUAUGAUCUGACAAAAAUUGAGUUAAAAAAAUAUAUGUCCUUUGUACAUGUAAUGCAUUACAUCGCAAUUAUUUGUCCUUGCUGCAAUCAUGAUGCAUUAUGUAUGUCACGCCGAAGGACAUCUAAUAAUUUUUCAUGAAAGUGAUGCUCUUGCAACGUAUAGAUGUAAAGGAAAGAAGUUAUAAAAUGAAUGUGUAAGUAAGUGUUUUGUCCCCAUCAUUAGCUGAGAUAUUUGGUAAAGCGUGGUUUUUUAGAUUUGCUGCACUGCGACGCCCAUCCACGGCCGUCUCGAGACAAAACACUUACUUACAUAAGUUUAAAAAAUAACGCCAUGCAGCGUUGUUGGCCGUGGGAACAAAUAAAGGGCAGCAACCAGCUCUGCAAAAGUUUUUGAAGUGAAAAUAACGUAUAUACUAUCAAUAAAAUCUCAUGCUCGCACCAACCCAUCCGUACCAAAAUAUCAUCAAUUCAUUCCUGCAACUAUUGAAGCCCCAUGAUUUAAGUAGGUUAUAUUUGUCACAAACUUACGGUCCAAAAACUUAAGUGUUAGAAGAAAAACAUAGCACUUUUUAUUAUUAGUCAAAAUGAAAAUAUGAUAAUAUUUCCUUUUAAUCCAGUGGCUCUCUAGAUCUGGAUCCUAUGGGAACCUUUUUGAUCUUGGUAUCCUUGGUAAGAAACUCAUACGGCUAAUAAAAAUUGUCACACAUAGCUUUGAUACCAUUUGUUGCGAACUUAUAGUUUAAGCAUUAUAGUUGCUAAGAGGAGAACUGGCUCAGACUAAUAAAUCUAUAUGACAUCCUUCGUAAUAGCAAUAAUCAAUGAGGCUUGCAAAGUACAUAUGUCUAUCUAUACGUCCAUUUUUUUUUUUUUUGGUGAAAACAGCAAUUCAUAUAGCUCUAACGUGAGAACAUCUGGUCAAAUCAAGAAAAAGUAAAAAGUACAAAAGAGGAGGUAUAUCUACUGUAGAUGUCUAAAGAAAUUUUUUGGAGUGCCGGACAACGAAGAAAGCAACCCAGUUUACUGUACUGUUCAUCUCUCAAGAUACAUGUGCUGUCUAAAAAUCGUUCGGCUCUUGAAAAGGCCUCAGCAAAAGGAAUGGCCUACAUCUCGCCACGAAAAUGGCUUGUUUAAAUGGGAGGUUGGACGGCCGGCAUUGGCUAUGUGUGACCCGGGACAAACUUCUUUUUCGAUUUUAUUCUUCUGGCGGUCUCACCCGGCUUCACCAAAAAGGGCCAUAAUGGGGCAGCACGGAACCAAGGACGUUUGGUUAGACCCAAUUAACCUUAACCAAGUUACCCUCGUCAACAAUUUUAUAUUUUUAACUUUUUUCCUCCUUUCUGGAAAGAGUUUUACAUUUCUACUCUGAUGAGAUAUUAAGAUUUCACUUGCAUUAAAGCCGAAAUCUCCUAAUUAAUGAUCUGCAGACAGGGCUUUUAUUCCUUAUCUCUGCUCUUUACUGGGUGUAAUAAUAGUAGUUGUUAUUGCAGAACAUAAUGAGGAAAAAUAACGAUUUUACUUGCUCAAACUAUGGUCCAAAAAAUAAAAAUUACUUUUGUGAAGGUAAUACAUAUUUGUGAGUUGAAAACAUUAUAUCUUGCGAGUUACAAAAUAAACAGCGAAAAGCUUCAAAAUAAUAUAUCUUAUGUCAUAUGAUUACUUUCUAGGGAGGUCUCACAUCCCUAUCCCCAAUUCAUUACACAAUGAAAUGAUGAGAUGGUUUUCCGCUAUUCUGUUUAAAAAAGGACUAUAGCAAAAUAAAUAUUAAUAUUUUUUAUUAUAAAUUGAAUUUUAUUGUUAAUUUUCUGUCAUCAUAAUCUGAACUUUUGACAAUAGGGAUCGCAUGUCUUGACCUCUAAGAUUUUUCUAUUCACCUCACAAGGUUGAUUAUAUCAAACCGCAUACUUUUCUGAGGAGCGCAUUCUUUUUUUAUGCAAAUGUCAUAUUUUUUGUAAUAAAUCCCUCCGUAUUUAUUCAAAUUUCAAAAAGGCGCAGUGAGAAAAAUUUUAGAAUAUAAUAAAAAGAAAUUAUAGUUUGUCAAGCAUGCUCUAAAUUAUGGCCUUUAUUUUAAACCAACCACUUCAUUAGCGUCGACGUAAUAACCAACAAAUCAGUGGUAACGGUCGGUAAUUUGACGAGCACUUCAAUCCCUCGACACCAAAGCGACGCUCUAUAACAAGGUCUUGGAGGUGUUUAGCCGCUUGCUCGGAGUCCGAUGGCAGAAAAGCUUCCGGCGGGCCGGAAGGCAGAAAGGAGUACUACUUCGCCGGCGGGCGGGACGCGCCACCCGGUCUACAAAGGAGUGAGGAAGCGGCAGUGGGGGAGGUGGGUGUCGGAGAUCCGGGAGCCGAGAAAAAACUCGAGGAUCUGGCUGGGCUCCUUCCCCACGCCGGAGAUGGCCGCCCGGGCCUACGACGCCGCGGCAAAAUGUCUCAAGGGAGCGAAGGCCCAGCUCAACUUCCCGGACCAAGCCCACCUCCUCCCCGUCCCCUCCACGCCGGCACCGAGAGACAUCAAGGCCGCCGCCACGGCCGCCGCGAAGCUCGAGACUCCGAGUUCUGCCGCUUCCGCUUCCGCUUCCUCUUCCGCUUCUUGCUCUUCUUCUAGUUGUUUGGUCGUUGGCGAGGAGGCGGAGGUGAAGUCGGAGUUGACGGAUGGGUUGGACGACUUCUGGGCCGAGAUCGAGGUGACUGAACUAAUGAACGGUCGGAUAUCCCCUGUUUUGUCCCGGGAGACAUGGUUCUGGGACACGUGCACCGACGAGAUUUAUCUGUGAGAUCUAGUAUUAGAUAUAUUAGCGUGUCUCGGUGUCCGGUGUAAUUCCAAGAGAGUAGAAGGUAUUGCAUGCUAGCGAUUUGCUUUCUGAAUUCGUGGCACAAAUUUUGGACCAGUAUGGCCAUGGGUUGCCGCAGUCAUGGGUUGCCGCGUGUCCUUUGUUUGAGCGAAAACAGAGGAAGCAAGUCAUUUUAUUAAUAAAGUGUGAAUAUAUAUACAGCAAGUAUAAUGGUCAAGACAUGAUCACGAAGAAGGAGAACAACAAAUAGGAGACAAUUUUUCAUGAACAUCAGAAUCCAUUUCAGAAGAAAGAUUACCCCAAAGCUUGAAUGUUUGAAGUCUCGGAGAGAAUAGCUUUAACUGAAGAUUUUCUUUUUUAAGAAAAAAUAAAUUUCUCUCGAGCCAAAUUUGCCAAUAUAGAGUAAUGAUGAGUUGGUUCUAUAUCCUUCCGAAUUAUGAUUGUAUCUUUUUACUUCUCCAAGGGAUCCAUAAAACUUGUUAGUUAGAUGGCCAUCCAUGAAACUUUAGGUGCAGCUUCAGUGCGAACCAAAUGCUUUUGAUGAGGAGGCACUUGGUCAACAAAUGUGAUGCAGUUUCCUAAGUUUGCUUUAUAUAACCAUUUAUCGCGAGGACUUCCCGGGUGUGCAAUUUGUCCUUCAAAGCUAACCAUAGAAAUAUCUUUACUUCCUCCGGGAUCGACACUAAGGAAAGAGAGCACCACCACUAAAUGAAUUUGUAAAACGAUCAUACUAAGAAGUGACCAUCUUUGGAGUGCCUCCAAACCAUCACAUCCGCGAAUCUGAUUCACUUUGUGUUUGAUGUUCCAUUUCCGAUUGUGGUGAUUCCAGUAGGCUACAACGGUGGAGCUUCUUUUCGCAGCUUCAAGGUAUAAAUGUUGAAAGAGUAGUGACGCGAAAGCAAUUGAAUCAAUCCAAGAGUUUUUCUAAAAGCAUCGUUACCAGUCUCCAGUUUAAAAAGGGUGCAUAUCCAAAGGGCUCCUGGAUCACUACUGAUAUCUUUCCAAAUUAAAGAGGAGGAUUUCAAUGAUCAUUUUGCACGCAUCCCGAGUUCCCUUCCAGCAUAAUAACUGUUGUUUAUCAAGUCUCGCCAUGGGGUGUUUGGGCUUUUGAUAACUGUUGUUUAUCAAGUCUUUAGAUUCACAUUCUUCAACAUCCGGAUCACAGAAGAGUUCAGGUUCAAGCAGUACAAUACAAUCAUUGCUUUUAUAGAGAACCGAGAAACAGAGUACUAUCCCUGGCAAUUCCUAUGGAGGAUCGAUCCAGCAGGUAUGACUAGGAUGGGGCCAUUACUCACGACAGUCAAAGUCAGUGAGCUCUGUACCUCACUCAGAAGUCCCCCUAUAUGGCCGACGGAUGCAGGCUCGCCAUGGAGGAUUGAAAUCCACUCGAGAGUGGCACUUUUUUUUUGGAAGGUGGUGUGGCAUCGGCUGCUAUUUGAGUAUCUGACAAUACAACAGAUUUAGAGCGGAGAGUAUUCAGUUGCUUGUCCCUCAUGAUUAGGCUGAAAUUUUCCUACACCAUGUAGAAAAGGUGAAUCACAGGGAUACUAGGAAAAUGAGGCCAAUUAAUUUUUCUUCAAUAUGCUGCUUAUUAUAUUUGCACGGCCAGGAACAUAAGAUUGUUUGAGAGCGAGGUGGAGAGCCCUUUGGUCGUUGUGGCGACAGCCAUGGAUGAUGCUUUGGACUUCAUUUGUGCCACUAGUUCAAAGAGGUAUUUGACAGCUGGAAAAAUAUGAGUUCCCACAUAUGCAGAUUUUGCGCUUCUUGUGUUUUAUUUCACUUGAGAACCUUCAACCGUAGCUUCCUCAAUAUUAACUUCGAUGGAAGUGUCAAGAAUAGAGGGCAAAGCAGAGGAGUUGGCUUUUUGGGGGUGGCGGGUGGCUGCCUAUUGUUUGACAUAUUGGUACCUUUUGUCGAGCUGAGAGCUGCAUGAGAGGGCCUGACUCAUAUCAUCUUAGUUUUGUAGGCUGACAACAGUUCUGGAAGGAAAUUUCGGAACAGUCAUUUUAUGAAUUAGAGUAAGGACUGAAUAUCUAGACACGAACCUUCUACCAUGGGCAGAUAUUCGGAGAUUCAUAUUAAGCUACACUUCAUGCAUGAUCAGAUAUACCUACAAGAGGGCAAAAGUACUGCGGAUGGGAUGGCAUCCGUUGGGACCAAAUGUAUCAAAUUUGUGCUAUGAGAGAUGUCGAUAUUGUUACCUCAAAACCUGCCGAAUAUUUUUUUAGGACCGAUGUGUUACAGGAUGCCUAUAUUAAACGACCUUGUAAAGCCACCGCUCAAAAAGUACAACAUGAUGCUCUCAUUGUAUAUAUUAAACGACCUUCUUACAGAGAUUGAUGCAGUAGACUUUGUUCAUGAAUGGAUGAUUCUCACAGCAUGAAUCUCAAGGCCUACGCUACCAGUGCUCUUAAUUUGAAAACACAAGCCUUUUUAUUUACUAGUCCUCGCGAGUUUUCGUGAACUCACCUGAUCCAGAUGUAUUGUUUUAUAAUGCUAGAUGAAGUCAAUCAAUUGAUUAGAUCAUAAUGACCAUAAAACCAAGUCAAAGGGGCCAGUUCUUGUCACUUGUCCAUUGAAUGCCAGUUCCCUCUAAUAUUAUUACACCCAAUGCGGUGCGCUGUCACUCACUGCAGCGAAUUCCAACUUGUUUUCCUACUCUCAAAUAUCAAAUGUGACACUUUCCUGAUCUGUGAACGCCAGUUUUAUUUAGGAGCUAGCUAUGCCGGAUGCUUUCAGGCGCACAUCCACAUCUCUUGAUACUCGUACAACUCCCUCGGAAAUUUUGCCAGAACAAGACUAGUAGGGCCUUUCUUAUCAAGCCCAGACUCCUUAUAUCACAAAGAAUUCCCCCAACCUCUUCAAUGCCAUAGGCAAUGCUUUCUAGGUUCGUGGCAAUCAUUUGAAACUAUUUAUUAAAAUAUUUGCCAGAUGCGCGUCCAAUUAAUGCAUGUAUCACCUAUGACAAUUUUGUAGGUAAAAGAUUAGUUGGGUUAUAUUUAUCAAGCCCCAACAGCUAAAUAUAUGCUUGUCUUGUCUUAGCCAUCUCCCUCUGAUAUCACAUUAAAUGGAGCAUGGCAUUGCUUUCUGUCGUGAAUUGCACAUUGUUGUUCCCUUCUGCUAAAUAUCCUAGAUCUACGAAAAUUUUAUUGCUAAGAUAUUCAAAAAAUUUGCCAAAGUCUGCGCAUUUCAACCAUGGAUGCAAAAAGAUGGACCUAGGAUGGAUUUAAUCCAUUUUUUUUCCCUCUCUUUUUGGUGUAAUAACAGCUUGCAUUAGGAUGAUUUCAUUGUAGCUUUAUAGUGGACGGAUCUGAUCCAUCUAAUAAUUUCUUCUCUGUAUCCAUGCGCUCAUGUCAAUAUCACCGGCAAAGAAUUAGUUCAAUCAUAAUUAACAAGCCUUGACAAGUAUGAUCCCACAUUGGAAGAGUUGAAUCAUCGCAUGUACAUUAAGUAACAUCGGAAUCCAGCUAGCAUUGACUGCUUAUUGUUUGGAAAAUGAAACAACAAAACUCAUAAUAAUGACGGAAUUGGAGGAGUCAGAUGAACUCAUGACGCACAUGACAUGUCAAAAGUUGAAGGCACAUGCAAACACGAGUUGUGUACGCAUUCCUGAGAUAAUAAAAAUAGAAUUUUUUUUGUAUGAAUAUCCUUCUAAAUAUCGAAUUUUGCAUGAAUACCUUUUUCAAAAUUGAUAUUUGCAUGUAUAUCCUUAUAAAACACUUAUUUUACUAUUUUACCUUUUUUUUAAUUUUAUUUUUGCAUAUGUACCCACGCCAUCUAACGCCAUUAAAAAAUUAACGAUUUUUAAAUUGAAAUAACUAAAGUAUCCUUAAUGGGUAGAUGUGCCAAAAAAAAAUUUAUAAGAUGAUCGCAGUAGAGGAUAAAAAAGUAAUUUCAAAAAUUUAUUUUCUUAAUUAAAAUAAUAUAUGGUUUUUAUUAAUAGUGUUAGAAAAAUCAUUAUAUUAGGGGCAUUUGUGCAAAAACAGUAUUUUAUGAGGGUACAAAAAUAAAUUUAUAUUUUAAAAAGGUAUUCAAGCAAAUUUAAAUUAUAUUAGAUGACCCUUUCCCAUGUUUUGCUGCUCGAGCCUGUCAUUUAUUUCUUCGACUACUAGCUGCAGUGCCAAAACAAUUGGCCAUGGACGGCAAGUUGACAGGGAUCUUGCAACAAUCUGGAUGGACACCAUCCAACUACUAGCUUGCAAAUGAUGUGGAGUCAAAUUAUGAAGUUAGGGCUACUAAGGUGUCACAUCAAAUUCCAACGUAUCUACCUCACGCAUGGAGCUCAUCUAAGGCUGGGUGCCCUGCAAAGCCCAGCCCGAAAUUUAGCGGGGGUGGGCACUACAAAUAGGCCCAUGGGAUGGGCCUCGGCAAAAAAAUAGGCCAGAUCAAAAAAAUGGGCUGGGCCUAACAAUUUAGAAAUAAGUCCGAUCUAGCCCAAGAUAUUACACACACACACACACACUGCCAGGUUAACUAAGGAUGCAAAUGAGCCGGCUGGCUUUAUGGGCUUAAAUUUACCGCAUUGUUUGAGCUGAUUUAUCGGGCCCAUCUUAUGAGAAGAAUUAGAUAUCUUUUAUUUGGAUUUUGAAUUUAAAAUAGUUUAGAUUGUGGCUCUAGUUCCAAGAAAAUAAAAAAUUAGGCCUGGAGAGCGGGCUUGAGACUGGCUCUACAAAAUUGGGCUGGAACUAGACAAAAAAUUUAAGCCUAAUGGUCGGGCUUGGGCAUAGCCAUCAGGCCUAACUUUUGUUCUGCCCGAGCCCAGCUCAGCCUGGGGUUUGAUAAGCUCUAAUCAUAUAUAACAUAUAGAAUCCAUAAAUUAGAAUGCUAACAUGGUGAAGUGAUAAACAAUGAGAGAACUUUAAGAAACCUGUGUAGUCGAGUUGGGAAAAGGUUGGUUUAGAUGCGUUCGGUCAUGGUUUGCCUUCAAAUAUUCCUAUGCCUCAUGAAGCAGAUUCAAUUAGAAAAUGGUGUUGCCAAUGCAAGAUUUAGUCACGCGGAUCGAUGACUGAGAAAACAGAGAGUUCUCUUGAUGAUGAGGGGUAGUAUUCAUGCUAGGCUGAUAUGAACUACCAUUGUAUUAAAAAAAAAUAGAAAUUCUAGAGAGGCUGGACGCAUGAAACCUAGAUGCAUUCUUCUGCAUGGUCUCGGUAUCUUGCAUUCUAGCUGCAUAUAUUUUUUGAGGAAAACAGGUGGUUGCACAUACAUGACAAUAAGAUUCAGAUGUUUUAUUCCUCCUUUUAUCAUACUUGUAGCCUGAGGUUUAUCAUUCACAUUCAAAAGGCCAAUGUAAAUGUAAAUUACAAUUGUUUCUUAAAGAAAUUUUUAAACUAGAUUGACUAUAAAAGCAAGGUGACCAGUCAAUCUCCACCAUAAGCAGUUCUUAGAGCUUUAAGCAAAUAGUUUUUGCAAUAUAAUCUAGUGAGGCAUUGCAAUCUAUAUUUACUAUGAUAUCGUGUAAGCAAUAGUGAAAAAGCUCCCGCCAAUAUCACUUUUCAUUCUUUCUUUCUUUCUUUCUUUCUUUUUUGAAUUCGAAUGGGAGGAAACGCAGUCAAAAAUCAGGCAAUAGCAAGCCUAAAUCCCAUGUCAUUAGUACAUUAAUCGAGUAUAAAUACAUCUACAGAAAUCAGAAAAUAAAAUAUUAAAAAACUGAAUAGAAAGAUCUGCCAAAAAAAACCCAUGGGGCUCGUUUGGUUCGUGGGAAUCAUUUUUCCUCCUAGGAAUAUAAUUCCUGGAAAGCAGAUUCCUUAGAAGAUGAUGUCUAGGAAAGUACUUUUGGCGUGUUUGGUUGACCAUGGAAAAGUGACAGAUUUCCAAAAUGCUUAUGUUUGGUUGACCAUCUACUUUCCUAGGAAAGUUAUAUAU
RNAcentral lists this long non-coding RNA (14987 nucleotides) under Phoenix dactylifera (date palm). RNAcentral describes it as "long non-coding RNA (PDAC_LNC004984)". Lineage: Eukaryota; Viridiplantae; Streptophyta; Magnoliopsida; Arecales; Arecaceae. The record is from RNAcentral.